This 440-nucleotide ribosomal RNA is filed under the name uncultured bacterium. RNAcentral's name for it is "partial 16S ribosomal RNA". It matches the Rfam family "Bacterial small subunit ribosomal RNA", at positions 338 to 795 of the family's 1533-position model. The record is from RNAcentral.
CCUACGGGAGGCAGCAGUGGGGGAUAUUGCACAAUGGGGGAAACCCUGAUGCAGCGACGCCGCGUGGGUGAAGAAGCGCCUCGGCGCGUAAAGCCCUGUCAGCAGGGAAGAAAAUGACGGUACCUGAAGAAGAAGCCCCGGCUAACUACGGGACAGCAGCCGCGGUAAUACGUAGGGGGCAAGCGUUAUCCGGAUUUACGGGGUGUAAAGGGGGCGCAGACGGCGAUGCAAGCCAGGAGUGAAAGCCCGGGGCCCAACCCCGGGACUGCUCUUGGAACUGCGUGGCUAGAGUGCAGGAGGGGCAGGCGGAAUGCCUGGUGUAGCGGUGAAAUGCGUAGAUAUCGGGAGUAACACCGGUGGCGAAGGCGGCCUGCUGGACUGCAACUGACGUUGAGGCCCGAAAGCGUGGGGAGCAAACAGGAUUAGAUACCCUUGUAGUC